This 266-nucleotide ribosomal RNA is filed under the name uncultured bacterium. RNAcentral's name for it is "partial 16S ribosomal RNA". It matches the Rfam family "Bacterial small subunit ribosomal RNA", at positions 793 to 1055 of the family's 1533-position model. The record is from RNAcentral.
GUCCACGCUGUAAACGAUGGGCACUAGGUGCUCGGGGUAUUGACCCCCUGGGUGCCGUAGCUAACGCAUUAAGUGCCCCGCCUGGGGGACUACGGCCGCAAGGCUAAAACUCAAAGGAAUUGACGGGGGCCCGCACAAGCGGUGGAGCAUGUGGUUCAAUUCGACGCAACGCGAAGAACCUUACCUGGGCUAGACAACAGGAGACAAUCCCAGAAAUGGGCCUUUCCCUUCGGGGACUCCUGGUUCAGGUGCUGCAUGGCUGUCGU